GAUGAACGCUGGCGGCGUGCCUAAUACAUGCAAGUCGAGCGAACAGACGAGGAGCUUGCUCCUCUGACGUUAGCGGCGGACGGGUGAGUAACACGUGGAUAACCUACCUAUAAGACUGGGAUAACUUCGGGAAACCGGAGCUAAUACCGGAUAAUAUAUUGAACCGCAUGGUUCAAUAGUGAAAGACGGUUUUGCUGUCUCUUAUAGAUGGAUCCGCGCCGCAUUAGCUAGUUGGUAAGGUAUCGGCUUACCAAGGCAACGAUGCGUAGCCGACCUGAGAGGGUGAUCGGCCACACUGGAACUGAGACACGGUCCAGACUCCUACGGGAGGCAGCAGUAGGGAAUCUUCCGCAAUGGGCGAAAGCCUGACGGAGCAACGCCGCGUGAGUGAUGAAGGUCUUCGGAUCGUAAAACUCUGUUAUUAGGGAAGAACAAAUGUGUAAGUAACUAUGCACGUCUUGACGGUACCUAAUCAGAAAGCCACGGCUAACUACGUG
Molecule: ribosomal RNA, 497 nt
Filed under: uncultured bacterium
Lineage: Bacteria
Description: partial 16S ribosomal RNA
Rfam family: Bacterial small subunit ribosomal RNA
Source: RNAcentral